UGACGGGGUUACCCAAAGUGUUCUUAUUGAACUGUGGUAGGUGAGUAAUGUCCCCUACUAGAAAGGAGAGGGCAAGGCUGGUGCCAGCCGCCGCGGUAAAACCAGCUCUUCAAGUGGUCGGGAUAAUUAUUGGGCUUAAAGUGUCCGUAGCCGGUUUAGUUAGUUCCUGGUAAAAUCGGGUAGCUUAACUAUCUGUAUGCUAGGAAUACUGCUAUACUAGAGGGCGGGAGAGGUCUGAGGUACUACAGGGGUAGGGGUGAAAUCUUAUAAUCCUUGUAGGACCACCAGUGGCGAAGGCGUCAGACUGGAACGCGCCUGACGGUGAGGGACGAAAGCCAGGGGAGCGAACCGGAUUAGAUACCCGGGUAGUCCUGGCCGUAAACGAUGCAUACUAGGUGAUGGCACGGCUAUGAGCCGUGUCAGUGCCGUAGGGAAACCGUUAAGUGUGCCGCCUGGGAAGUACGGUCGCAAGG
This 473-nucleotide ribosomal RNA is filed under the name uncultured archaeon. RNAcentral describes it as "bacterial SSU rRNA". It matches the Rfam family "Archaeal small subunit ribosomal RNA", at positions 368 to 848 of the family's 1478-position model. The record is from RNAcentral.